RNAcentral lists this ribosomal RNA (408 nucleotides) under Cryptocercus primarius. RNAcentral describes it as "partial 16S ribosomal RNA". The stretch from base 1 to 205 matches the Rfam family "Archaeal large subunit ribosomal RNA", at positions 1889 to 2143 of the family's 2987-position model. Lineage: Eukaryota; Metazoa; Arthropoda; Insecta; Blattodea; Cryptocercidae. The record is from RNAcentral.
CUCCUGUUUAACAAAAACAUCUCUUCUUGAAUAUAUUUUGAUGUAUGGCCUGCCCACUGAAUAUUGAAGGGCCGCGGUAUUUUGACCGUGCAAAGGUAGCAUAAUCAUUAGUCUUUUAAUUGUAGGCUGGAAUGAAUGGUUUGACGAGGUGUUAACUGUCUUUAAUUUUUUUUAUUGAAUUUAAAUUUUAGGUUAAAAUGCCUAAAUGUUUUUUUGGGACGAGAAGACCCUAUAGAGUUUUAUAUAUUUUUAUAUUUUUUGUAAGAUAAUUUUUAAUGUUAAAGUUUAUUUUGUUGGGGUGAUGAGAAGAUUAAAUUAACUCUUUUUGUUUUUUUUAUAUUUAUUUAUAUUUAUUUGAUCCAUUUAUAUUGAUUAAAAGACUAAAUUACCUUAGGGAUAACAGCGUAA